UCCAUUGUAUUUCGCUACGUCGAUUGAUUGAUUUAUUUAAAGGGUGAGAUUUUAGGAAAAGACCGAUGUGAUAUCCCGAAUGAUUGGAAGAAUAGUUAAGCAUGGCGUUUAGCUAAUGACGAUUAUGUCAGAAGAUAAUCCUUAGAAAAAGGAAUUGAAUGAGUUAAGGAAAGGAAUAAUUAGGUAAUACCUAAUUGAAAUAGUAUGUUGAGGUUAUUCAACAAGAAGGAGAAUUAUGAAAAAUUACAAGUAAGGAUAAUGCAUAUAUAUAUGAAUGUAAUUAUGAAAUGGUGAUUCCGAG
This 301-nucleotide long non-coding RNA is filed under the name Panax ginseng (ginseng). RNAcentral's name for it is "long non-coding RNA (PGIN_LNC017419)". Lineage: Eukaryota; Viridiplantae; Streptophyta; Magnoliopsida; Apiales; Araliaceae. The record is from RNAcentral.